RNAcentral lists this ribosomal RNA (252 nucleotides) under uncultured soil bacterium. RNAcentral describes it as "partial 16S ribosomal RNA". It matches the Rfam family "Bacterial small subunit ribosomal RNA", at positions 26 to 290 of the family's 1533-position model. The record is from RNAcentral.
AGAUUGAACGCUGGCGGCAUGCCUAACACAUGCAAGUCGAACGGGAGUAGCAAUACUCUAGUGGCGGACGGGUGAGGAAUACGUAGGAAUUUGCCCUUAAGUGGGGGAUAACCCGGGGAAACCCGGAUUAAUACCGCAUGACCUCGAAAGAGCAAAGUGGGGGAUCGCAAGACCUCACGCUUUUGGAGAAGCCUACGUCGGAUUAGCUAGUUGGUGAGGUAAUGGCUCACCAAGGCGACGAUCCGUAACUGG